GUGGGGAAUCUUGCGCAAUGGGCGAAAGCCUGACGCAGCCAUGCCGCGUGAAUGAUGAAGGUCUUAGGAUUGUAAAAUUCUUUCACCGGGGACGAUAAUGACGGUACCCGGAGAAGAAGCUCCGGCUAACUUCGUGCCAGCAGCCGCGGUAAUACGAAGGGGGCUAGCGUUGCUCGGAAUUACUGGGCGUAAAGGGCGCGUAGGCGGACAGCUUAGUCAGAGGUGAAAGCCCAGGGCUCAACCUUGGAAUUGCCUUUGAUACUGGCUGUCUUGAGUUUGGGAGAGGUGAGUGGAGCUCCGAGUGUAGAGGUGAAAUUCGUAGCUAUUCGGAAGAACACCAGUGGCGAAGGCGACUCACUGGCCCAAUACUGACGCUGAGGCGCGAAAGCGUGGGGAGCAAACAGGAUUAGAAACCCGUGUAGUCC
Molecule: ribosomal RNA, 425 nt
Filed under: uncultured bacterium
Lineage: Bacteria
Description: partial 16S ribosomal RNA
Rfam family: Bacterial small subunit ribosomal RNA
Source: RNAcentral